UGCCUUCUGAAGAAAAAAAACCAACACAUUAUCUAUCAUUGUCUCAAUAGAAGUGAUUUAAAUAACUGUGCCAAUCAAUUAUCUGUAGGAUUUUACAUUGAUUUAUCUAAAGCGUUUGUUGAUAUUCAAAAUCUAUUUGGCAGCUUUGGUCAGAGCAGCGUGUAGGAGAACUGAGACUUAUCAGGCUAUAUUCCUCAUCUGAGUUAUUUAUUUCCUUACUGUUGUGAAGCUGCCUUCUUUGUGAGCACUGGUUUUACUGGAAGGGUACUGCUACGUCAAGCUGAGGGCUCCAUGUGUUUGCUCUGUACCCAGGGGCAACCUGGCCUCUUCCAGCAUCACAGCUGAAGUAGGCGUGGAAUGAAGUGGUGCAAAGGGUCAAGGCUUUGUACCCAGGAGGAGGGUAUCUAUUAUAAUCCUCACUAGAGCAGAACAUCAGGAGGAAUUUGAACCCUUCAGUAAUACACUUUUGUGCUUGGGAUUGUUUUUUAAUUCAAACAGCUUACCUCAAGAAGUGGCAGUUUCCAGGACAUCAGAAUGGAUUCUUCCUUGACUGCUAAUUAAGGGAGGGACUGAACUAUACAGUCUGACUGCAGGCGGUGCCAAUUUCCCAGCUCACCAGUGAACAUCUUCCUAUUUUCAGGUUUUCUCUCCCUUUGCAGUUGGCUGAGAACUAUUUCCUGAAUGCAUUAGCCUAUGCUUAACCCCCUCCAUGUGCCCAAUCAACUGCUUAACCAGAAAGCUACAUAGAUUUAAGUUACUGUGUAACUCACAGUACUGCAGAGCACUUUUUAGCACAGAGGGCUACCAACAUACACACACCUACUUCAAAGUACUCGUUCAGAUAAACAGUCUUUGAAAUGUAGCAUCGCAGCAAUUCAGCUAAUUGGGGCUCCAGUGGUAACGAGCUUAUAGUAUGCUCCUUCCAUUGCCAUCAGUUCAUCAUGAGUGCCCCUUUCAAUGAUGAUUCCUUGUGACAUCACAGCAAUGAUGUCAGCAUUCUCGAUUGUGGACAGGCGGUGGGCAAUGACAAUGCAGGUGCGCCCUUCUCUGGCCUUAUCCAGUGCUGCUUGCACAGUCUAAGAGCAACAAAGAAAGCAUCAGAGUGAAAAUGGGCAAAUCAAAUUGGGGCUCAGAGCUGGAGAGAUCCGAUUGCUUCAGACUAAUUAACUAUAUUGUGCAAUAUUUGUACUAAAAAGGGAAAGGUAAAAAUACAGUAAGAAUCAAACUGUAAGGAAAGUCUUUUUUUCAGCUGACAUACUCAGCUUGGAUGUGCUUCUAAAUUUCUACCAAUUCUCUAAUAUUCAAGUGAGUGUGACCAAGCCAAGGAAUUUAUUGUCCAGCUCUCAGGCCCUGCACUGCUGUUUUUAUUGGAUAUUCAGACUCAUCAUCAGACACUUCUGUGCUGGUUUAGUUUGUUUUUAUGUGCAAAAGCUGUAUUUAUGACAGAUUCCCACUGAAUGCUGUGAAACCCAGGGAAUUAGUAUGCACAGUAGACAGAAAGUACUGCUUCUUAAUGAUAGUUUAAGAGUCUCUGUAGCUAGCUAUUGACUUUAUAGCCAUACUUCCUCAAUCUUUCAAAAAAGAUCAUUAAAAGUGUAAGUGCUGAAUUAGCAGUGGUCAUGUAAUGACCACUAUGCUGUGGUAAUGUGAUCUUUGUACAGCAGGAUGUCUCCACAGAUCAGAAGGUGGCAUUGUACUUUGUAAGCCAUCGCAUUAAUUUUCCCUUAUUUCUUAUCAUUGCAAACUUACCUUUUCACUUUCUGUGUCUAAGGCAGAUGUAGCUUCAUCCAAUAAUAAAAUUUUAGGAUCUCGUAUGAUGGCCCUCGCUAUAGCAAUACGUUGUUUUUGCCCACGAGACAGCUGAGAUCCUUGAGCACCAACAUUAGUUUCAUAUUUCUGAAAAAUAUGCCAAAGGAAGAUCUUUAUCUAGCUGUAAACAAACAAGUGCACAAGCUCAAGGAGCAGCAGAGGAGAGAGGCGGGAGUUCUGACCAUUGCUGUCUCCUCCUUAAAGAAUCUGGGAAGACAGAAAUACUUUAAGAGCGAUACAGAUGUUCAGGGAGAUAUCUUUGAACCAUGUUUUGUAGUAUGGUAACAGGCCUGAAAAAUUUGAUGGCAAGAUGAUGAUUGAUUUGUGUGAAGCAAAAGAAAUCCCUGGCCUAGAUUUGGGAGAAGAGGCUAAAAGAGACUGUGGGGCUCACUGGACAAGAGCUUUGUUUGCAUGCAUAAAUUAUAUACGUAUCUUUCAUGUUCUUAUCAUUUAUGUCUGUAUGAUUUCAGUGCAUUUAAAUACCUCCCCCGUGUGCAUAAGCAGCCAGCUUCAAGUGUUUUGACUGAGGUAUUGUACCCUAAUUGCAGGGCAGCACUCCCACAGCUGAGAACAGGAUCUGUAUUUCCUGUAUAAUACUGUAUAAUGCUUACCAAUAAUGCUGUAUAAUGCUUACAACACUGUAGAAUGCUUUGACUGCUGAACAAUACUUCCUCUUUUUUCUUAUCAAUUGCUUUGAGAAUCUUCCCUUUUCUCCUAAUUUAGAAUCAUAUUAUUUUUAGUCUUAGAAACGUUUGCCUACUGUGUAAGAAAACAGAACAACUCACACCUAAGCUCUCGGAAACAAAGAGUGGUCUUUUCUCCUACCAUUCUAGUUGUAAAGGAAAGACAUAAAAUAUUUACUGCAGCAAUUUCAACUGGUUUUGGUGCAACCCUCUGCAAUGACCAGCUGAACAGUGUGCCCCCGCAGCCAAGCCUCAGGUGUACUUACUUCAGGAAGUGACAUGACAAAAUCAUGCAGCUGAGCCUUCUUGGCUGCUUCUAUGACUUUUUCCAUUGUCGUGUCCUUAGUGUUACUGCCAUACUUAAUGUUGUCAGCAAUGCUGCAGUCGAAUAGCACAGGUUCCUGAGACACUACUCCAAUUUUUGAUCUGAGAAACUGUACAUUUACUUUCUUGGUGUCAUGCCCAUCUAUUAACUACCAGGAAAUAGGAGAAAACAUAAAACGUCAUUCCAAAAUGACCUGCAAAGCCAGUUAGUUUACAGUAUAAGUAAAUGAUUUGUUAAUAAACUACAAGCAAGACUGACAUGAGGUAAUUUGAAGUAUCUCUUACAUUUGACCUCUUUAUACAUGACGAAUACUUUCCAGCUGUGUCUGUCAUCCAGCCAAACUCUAUACCAUCUGAUUACUCUUAACUCCAACUGAACUUUUACUGCCUCAGGUUAGGCACAUGUUUUGUUGCCUUGCCAGGCUUAAUGAUCACCACCCUUAUUUUUGUCAAUGGAUGAGAUUCUGACUGGAUGAUUAAGUUUUUAUAAGGAAGAGUUAUAAAAGCUAGAUAACUAUAAUCUGCAAAGAAGCUGCAUGUUAAAACUAUAUAUUAGUUAGUGAAGUUCCAGAUUCCACUGCUUCAGCCAAGCUUGAUUCUUGUUUGUGUUCCCGCAACAUCAGCCACACGUUGUAUGGUUCAUACUGGAGCUACCAACGUGAUUUCCUGAGGCCUUUAUAAUGCAGGAGGUGAGUAGUGUUCUUAUUUUUCCUCAGUACAUCUGACGUGAUGCCCAGAGUUUGAACAGUCCUCCUUUGAAAAGGAGCUGAAAACCCAAGCUGCAUGUGUAGAGACACAGUGCUAGGUUCCACGUUUGGACACAGUCAGAAGAGUCCAUGUAGCAUUGAUGAAGACAACAGUACACAAAUCAUGUUUUCUCUGCUUACCACACUUCCUUUCUCAGGAUCAUAGAAACGCUCCAGAAGCUGGACACUGGUGCUCUUACCACAGCCGCUACUGCCAACAAAUGCCAAUGUCUGUCCAGGCUUAACAGCUACAGUCAGUCCUUUCAGGACCUGAAUAUCAGGCCGCGAGGGGUAUGUGAAUUUACAGUUAAGAAAUUCAAUGCUCCCCUUAAAAUCAUCCUAGUGAAAAAAUGAGAAACACUGCAAUGAUCUCAAGCUCAAAACUGAGUCAUAAAGUAGAAAACAACUCCUCCUCAAAUUCAUUUCUUGCAUCUGUUAUUCAAAAUGUUAUAGCAGUGCUCGUGAAAUUAGCAUAGAAAGAGUCAUUAUAAACUUACUGGCACAGCUGUUCUACAAGGUGAAGUCAUUAGUCAUUAAACCGAAGCUCUACUGACACAUCCCUGUACUACACCGGCCUGAAGGAACAACUGGAAGUGGGAUUACCUUGCCAACUAGUAAGUUACUCAUUUUAAUACAGAUACUGUAUAAGUACAAAUUUGGUGACUGUAUAAAGAUAUUUAUGUGAAAAGUUUUCGUUUUUGUUUUAGAUCUACUAAACUUUGUGAUGUUAAAACAAUAUGUGAAUUCUGGUCAAUUUAACGUAUUUGGGACAAAUAUUUCAAGAAUUCCUUUAAAGCUGAAAGAAAGCUAAAUACAUCUUUUUAAUUUGCUACGUCUGAGUUUUCCACUGACCUAAAACAUUUUCAUUUUGUCCUAUUCAGAAUUUUUUUUCCUUCUCAUGAACACUUCCAACUUCUAUAUGAACUAAAAAAAAAAAGCAUUACACAGUGGCUGUAAUAACUAUCAGAAAGCAAAAGCACGCUGUUUGGUGAAUCAUUCAAAUUACUGCUAUUGCAAUCCACAGGAGUUUUACAUAAAUUCCUAAUAGCCAUGCUUUAUGUUACUCUUGCUGCCUACUACAGAGCUCACUGCUUCCAAAAGAGCAGAUGUAUCAAUUAUUUGGACAGAAUAACCUUACUGUAAAGUAGUGAUCCCCAGUGUUUUUAAAUUGUUACUGCAACGUCAGUGCUUAUUUUGAGCUGAGUGACAUCUCAUACCACUCAUCUAUCUCCACACUUACCCAUUUUUCUCCUUUUUUGCUGUAAACACUGAUUUUAGGAAGCCGAUCGACGAGUUGAAACAAGCGUGCAGCAGAUGUUUUGGCUUUGGCAUAGUUCGGGGUGUAGGAAGAAGCUCUUCCCAAAGAAGUCCCACUGGUCACGACUGCAGAGAUCACUCUGUAGGAAAAGUGAACAUGGUUACUCUUGGGCAGCCAUCAGGAAGCUGUGUGCUCUGCCCAAACCAGCACCAGGAGAGGAGCCUGUGCCUGGCCCCAUGCAGGGUCUUACCUGAACACAAAGCUGUAAUGGAGCCCCUCAGUUUGAACCAGAAAGCCUCCAUAUCUGUAAGAUACGGAGUUGGCUAUGAACACUAUGCUCUGGGCGAAGCCAAAGCAGAUUCCAUAAACGUUUGCUUUUUUGAUUGCAGCUCUGUACGGCAUAUCCAGGUUCUUCUCAAAAGCAUCAAUAAACUUUUUUUCUUUCCCUAUCCCAGCCACAGUUCUGAUGUUAGAGAGAGCUUCACUGGAAAUCUGGAGGAGAAAAAAAAAAGAAUAGUAAAAUGCUUAUCCCUGCUUAUCUCAAGUAAUUUUAUUUGGAAAUUGGUUUAACAAUGCUGUCGUUUGCCUGGAGUUCACAAGUAGUUUCAUGAAUUCUAAGGGACACCCUGAGCUACUUGCAGAGCUGAACAGGGCAAGGGCCCCAUCCACCCAUUUGCUGCACAGAUAUGGACAGGAGGCUGAAGACACAUCUCUGAGAGCUUAGCAGGAAAACCACUUGCUUUGGAACCAAAUGAAACGGUUCACCUCUAACAAAGCAUCCAUUCAGUGAAGUAUACUAAUAGCUCAGCAUAAUUUAAUCCUCAUCUCCUAAGGAAUUCAGCACGUGGGUUGAGUGGGCCCCUUUCCCAAACUGGAACUCACACUGAAACUGACUGCCUGAAUCCCCAGCUGGUGCACCAGCCAGUCCUGUCAAUUGGUUCUUUAUGUGGGCUGUCGCUUUAAAUCAAAGCAGCAAGGAACAGCUUUGAUACAGCAUGAACAGUAUCAUCCUGUAAACAAGACUGGUGAACCUUGUGACAAUACCAGCCUGACAUGCUUUUGAAAUAAACACAUAAGCACUGUGGCAAAGAGCUAACUCAUCUUCAGAAGGAAAACAAAGAGAGCUCCUUGAUGCUAAUUCCAGUUUCACUGAUGGCUGAUAUUAAUUCAAUUUAUUUUUGUGUAAUUUUCAGGUAAUACAGACACCAAUAGUGGUCAAUGAACUGUGAUUCUAGUUAUGCUUUUAGGUAAACACAGUGAUAAUAGUUCCAAGUUCACAGUCUAUGAAAAACGGCAAAAGCUUAAUUGACUGAUCAAGGACUGGCCUACGCUGACUUUGCUUUUCUCAUGCUCGUUAAUUUCUGUGAUGAUGUGUCAAAAUAGGCCUUCAAUCUGUGCUUAUAUUAAAAGAAUUAUGAAGGUCUUACCCCUUGGACCUGUGAUGCAUCGGUUGCAAGCCUCGUAGUCAGUGCCCCAGGGCUGUUCCUCCGGUCAUCAAACCAGCCGAUGUCUUGCCCUAGCAUAGCCUGGAAACCAAUUUUCCUUAACCGUCUCGUAAGCAGCUCACCAGACUUGGCAAAGUUGUAUCCCUGAAGCACAAACAGUAAACAAAAAGGAUUGUACAGAAAGAGAUACACGCAGAAAAUGGGAUCAGAAACAAAAUUUACUUACAUUGCACUGUUAUUACCUGUAAAAACUGUGUAAAAAAUGAAACAAUUCCAACCAAGACAAACAGCAGGCAGACACCAUUGAUCUGGACUUUUUGUUCUUCCUCAUCAAGAAUGGAGAAGGUCUUCAGGGGGAAAAAAAAAAAAGGAAAAAAAAAAGGAUAACAUAAUAUUAGAAGAGCCUGUUUUUAUAAGACCACCACCAAAGGAAGUUACAAGCUGAGCCCAAGGGAGAGGACUGCAUUUGGUCUUAUUGGCUCAAGGACAAGUUCUGGUGACCUAGGAACUUACUGCUCUCCUCUGAGUUCUGGCCAGGAGGAGAGGGGACAAAAGGAAGGCUUAUUCUGCUGCCUUUGGGCAGACAUGUCUUCCUAGGAGGUGAAACAUCUGUAUGUUCAUUGCUGUUUCCAAAACCAUUUGUUCAUGACUCUACUGCUCCCCCAAGAAUCACAGUUACCACACAGGGCUCUCCCUCCCCCCUCACAAAUGCCAACUUCCAUAUUUCUCUAGGCUACACCUGGGUACAGAAUAUUGAUUUUUUUACUCCUCUUAAACAAGUUUGUUACAGUCUCUGUUUGCAUAUACUGAUUAUUUUCUGUCCAUGCAUAGUUAAUAAUUAAUAGUUUAAUUAAUAGUUUAUAUUAAUUAAUAGCUAAUAAUUAGUAGUUUAUAAUUAAUAGUUUAUAAUUAAUCACACACACACCAAAGGUCAAUAACCAGAAGGGCAAUAACAUUAAUGGCAUAGAGACAAAGCAAUUACAGCAGCCUCCAUAUCUCCUCUCUAAUCUAUGACAACUGCAACCUUAUUGAGCCAUACAAAGUACUCAUAAGUAGUUAUACCUUAGGAUGGCUCCUUGCAUAACACUAAUCGAUGCCACAAUUGCUCUAAGUAGGCUUCAAGAGAAGCCAGUGUCUUUUACUGAAGGUGUGUGGAUACAAGCUAUUUGCUCACUGAUGGCUACUUGAGGAAGAGCUUUAGAACUUAAAGCAGAGCCCCUCCAUCCUCAUCCACUCCAAUCUCCAUUAUAUUUUCCUUUUAUCUGUUGUUCUUUAUAUCUAUCUCAUCUUUUCCAACAACUGCUGGUGUUACUGGCUGCUGCUGAAGCAGUGGAACACGUCUAAGAAGCCAUUUUUACCAAUUACUUUCCCUCACAACAGUUGAUAUUUAUGUCAGUUAACCUACCUGAACUGCUGGAACUGCUUAUGCUACUUGCAGGGAUAAGCCACAGCUCGUGGCUGUACUUCUCCACUAAUGUUAAAUUCAUUCUAACUGGAUUUCUCUCUUGCUAUAAAUUGCUUAAUCUCUCGCCUUCUCAGCCUAUCCUCUGCGCAGCUAGAAAAGCCAUGCACUGAAGUACAUGCCUACACUCACCCUAAACUGAGAGCGGUAAUUGUCCUGCAAUUAAGAAGCAACAGUGGUUGGAAAGAGAUCUCUGUACUGCAAACAGUUCAAACAUAUUUCCAAUUGAAUUUCACUGGAAAAUGAUUAAUUUCCCAUGCUUGGACAGUUUCACAAUGAGAACCAUAGAACAGCUGAGAAGAAACAACCAAGUAAAGUGUUCCCCGUUGUAAGCUUCUGAUUUGAACAGAACAACUAAAGAGAGACAUGCAGUAUUAUCCAGCUCUUCGCUGACUUCUUAGGACUAAUUUUUUAGCACCUUCAAAAGGCAGACUUUGCUAAAUUCACUCUUUCAUUCUGCAGUUGUAAGAACUUUUUCCCAUUGUUUCUCUAGUCUAUUAUUCCCACAGCACGAGCCCACAUACCUGGCACAACAUCACUGCAGACAGUCAAGCAGUUUGAAAGGCAGAUGUCUGUUCCAUCUGCCUGCCUUCCUUGGCAGCAGGCAGAAAUUUCUUAAAUUUAUGAAUAAUAAAACACAGAUAUUGGACUUUGCUCAUGUUGGCUAUGGCUUCUUUUUUUUCUUGCAAUCUCUUUCUUUUGCUGAACUCAGACAUUCAAGAGAAGGAAUUCAUCCACAAUAAAGGAAUUCAGCAUCCUAUAGGAUGACUCAAGUCUUGACUUCGCAGUGUUAGGAAAACCCAACUCUCAA
This is a long non-coding RNA of Centrocercus urophasianus (Greater sage-grouse), 8538 nucleotides long. RefSeq lists it as uncharacterized. NCBI's taxonomy places the organism in Eukaryota, Metazoa, Chordata, Aves, Galliformes, Phasianidae. The record is from RefSeq and is a predicted model, not a curated record. The transcript has 3 exons.